Molecule: ribosomal RNA, 266 nt
Filed under: uncultured Staphylococcus sp.
Lineage: Bacteria; Bacillati; Bacillota; Bacilli; Caryophanales; Staphylococcaceae
Description: partial 16S ribosomal RNA
Rfam family: Bacterial small subunit ribosomal RNA
Source: RNAcentral
CGGCGGACGGGUGAGUAACACGUGGAUAACCUACCUAUAAGACUGGGAUAACUUCGGGAAACCGGAGCUAAUACCGGAUAAUAUAUUGAACCGCAUGGUUCAAUGGUGAAAGACGGUUUUGCUGUCACUUAUAGAUGGAUCCGCGCCGCAUUAGCUAGUUGGUAAGGUAACGGCUUACCAAGGCAACGAUGCGUAGCCGACCUGAGAGGGUGAUCGGCCACACUGGAACUGAGACACGGUCCAGACUCCUACGGGAGGCAGCAGCA